ACGCUCGACACCUACGGGGGCAGCAGUGGGGAAUAUUGCACAAUGGGGGAAACCCUGAUGUAGCGACGCCGCGUGGAGGAAGAAGGUCUUCGGAUUGUAAACUCCUGUUGUUGGGGAAAAAGAGGAUGGUACCCAACAAGGAAGUGACGGCUAACUACGUGCCAGCAGCCGCGGUAAUCUGGAGCGGGGCUAGGGCAAGGC
This 201-nucleotide ribosomal RNA is filed under the name uncultured bacterium. Its description in RNAcentral is "partial 16S ribosomal RNA". It matches the Rfam family "Bacterial small subunit ribosomal RNA", at positions 328 to 538 of the family's 1533-position model. The record is from RNAcentral.